This 429-nucleotide ribosomal RNA is filed under the name uncultured Treponema sp. RNAcentral's name for it is "bacterial SSU rRNA". It matches the Rfam family "Bacterial small subunit ribosomal RNA", at positions 355 to 776 of the family's 1533-position model. The record is from RNAcentral. Lineage: Bacteria; Pseudomonadati; Spirochaetota; Spirochaetia; Treponematales; Treponemataceae.
CUAAGAAUAUUCCGCAAUGGACGAAAGUCUGACGGAGCGACGCCGCGUGGAUGACGAAGGCCGAAAGGUUGUAAAGUCCUUUUGUCGACGAAGAAUAAGUGCGGGAGGGAAUGCCCGUAUGAUGACGUUAGUCGGCGAAUAAGCCCCGGCUAAUUACGUGCCAGCAGCCGCGGUAACACGUAAGGGGCAAGCGUUGUUCGGAAUUAUUGGGCGUAAAGGGUGCGUAGGCGGUUACGUAAGCCCGGCGUGAAAUCCUGGAGCUUAACUCCAGAAUGGCGCCGGGAACUGCGUGACUUGAGUCAUGGAAGGGAAGUUAGAAUUCCAGGUGUAGGGGUGAAAUCUGUAGAUAUCUGGAAGAAUACCGGUGGCGAAGGCGAACUUCUGGCCAAUGACUGACGCUGAGGCACGAAAGUGCGGGGAGCAAACAGG